CGAUAACGAACGAGACCUUAACCUGCUAAAUAGUUAGGCCAACGUUUGUUGGUCGUCAACUUCUUAGAGGGACUAUUGACUAUUAGUCAAUGGAAGUUUGAGGCAAUAACAGGUCUGUGAUGCCCUUAGAUGUUCUGGGCCGCACGCGCGCUACACUGAUCAAGUCAACGAGUUUACAACCUUGGCCGGAAGGUCUGGGUAAUCUUUUGAAACUUGAUCGUGCUGGGGAUAGUCCAUUGCAAUUAUUGGACUUCAACGAGGAAUUCCUAGUAAGCGUGAGUCAUCAGCUCGCGUUGAUUACGUCCCUGCCCUUUGUACACACCGCCCGUCGCUACUACUCUGUAUAGAAGUGGCU
This 355-nucleotide ribosomal RNA is filed under the name uncultured fungus. RNAcentral's name for it is "SSU rRNA". It matches the Rfam family "Eukaryotic small subunit ribosomal RNA", at positions 1326 to 1702 of the family's 1831-position model. Lineage: Eukaryota; Fungi. The record is from RNAcentral.